This 492-nucleotide ribosomal RNA is filed under the name uncultured bacterium. RNAcentral's name for it is "partial 16S ribosomal RNA". It matches the Rfam family "Bacterial small subunit ribosomal RNA", at positions 30 to 507 of the family's 1533-position model. The record is from RNAcentral.
AUUGAACGCUGGCGGCAGGCCUAACACAUGCAAGUCGAGCGGCAGCAGAGUGAUUGCUUCUGGUUACAGCGGCGGACGGGCGAGUAAUGCAUGGGUACCUCGCUGGCAGCGGGGGCUAACGUCAGGACAUGGGCGCUCUUACCCUAUUACUCCAGAGGGCGUACGUGGGAAAUCUUGGGAUCUCAGGAUCUCACGCGAUUCUAGGAGCCGAGGUCGGAUUAGCUAGUUGGCGGGGUAAAGGCCCACCAAGGCGACGAUCCGUAGCUGGUCUGAGAGGAUGAUCAGUCACACUGGAACUGAGACACGGUCCAGACUCCUACGGGAGGCAGCAGUGGGGAAUAUUGGACAAUGGGCGAAAGCCUGAUCCAGCCAUACCGCGUGUGUGAAGAAGGUCUUCGGAUUGUAAAGCACUUUUGUUGGGAAAGAAAAGCAGUAAGUUAAUACCUUGCUGUUUUGACGUUACCAACAGAAUAAGCACCGGCUAACUUCGUG